GAUGAAGAACGCAGCGAAAUGCGAUAAGUAAUGUGAAUUGCAGAAUUCAGUGAAUCAUCGAAUCUUUGAACGCACAUUGCGCCCUCUGGUAUUCCGGGGGGCAUGCCUGUCCGAGCGUCAUUGCUGCCCUCAAGCACGGCUUGUGUGUUGGGCCUCCGUCCUCCUCCCGGGGGACGGGCCCGAAAGGCAGCGGCGGCACCGCGUCCGGUCCUCGAGCGUAUGGGGCUUCGUCACCCGCUCUUGUAGGCCCGGCCGGCGCUUGCCGACACAUCAAUCUUUUUUCCAGGUUGACCUCGGAUCAGGUAGGGAUACCCGCUGAACUUAAGCAUAUCAAUAGCGGAGGA
Molecule: unclassified non-coding RNA, 344 nt
Filed under: soil metagenome
Description: partial contains 5.8S ribosomal RNA, internal transcribed spacer 2, and large subunit ribosomal RNA
Rfam family: 5.8S ribosomal RNA (bases 1-120)
Source: RNAcentral